This 677-nucleotide ribosomal RNA is filed under the name Candidatus Nanopelagicus sp. RNAcentral describes it as "bacterial SSU rRNA". It matches the Rfam family "Bacterial small subunit ribosomal RNA", at positions 28 to 719 of the family's 1533-position model. Lineage: Bacteria; Bacillati; Actinomycetota; Actinomycetes; Candidatus Nanopelagicales; Candidatus Nanopelagicaceae. The record is from RNAcentral.
GACGAACGCUGGCGGCGUGCUUAACACAUGCAAGUCGAGCGAUGAAGUUUCUUCGGAAAUGGAUUAGCGGCGAACGGGUGAGGAACACGUGAAGAAUCUGCCCUCCACUUUGGGAUAACACCGGGAAACCGGUGCUAAUACCGAAUAUUGAAACAUAAGUGGCAUCACUGAGUUUUGAAAGAAUUUCGGUGGAGGAUGACUUCGCGGCCUAUCAGCUAGUUGGUGAGGUAAUGGCUCACCAAGGCAACGACGGGUAGCCGGCCUGAGAGGGCGACCGGCCACACUGGGACUGAGACACGGCCCAGACUCCUACGGGAGGCAGCAGUGGGGAAUAUUGGGCAAUGGAGGGAACUCUGACCCAGCGACGCCGCGUGCGGGAUGAAGGCCUUCGGGUUGUAAACCGCUUUCAGUAGGGAAGAAGCGAAAGUGACGGUACCUACAAAAGAAGCACCGGCUAACUAUGUGCCAGCAGCCGCGGUAAUACAUAGGGUGCAAGCGUUGUCCGGAAUUAUUGGGCGUAAAGAGCUCGUAGGUCGUUUGUUACGUCGGAUGUGAAAACCUGAGGCUCAACCUCAGGCCUGCAUUCGAUACGGGCAAACUAGAGUUUGGUAGGGGAGACUGGAAUUCCUGGUGUAGCGGUGGAAUGCGCAGAUAUCAGGAGGAACACCAAUGGCGAA